AGGGGCAUAGCUCAGCUGGUAGAGUACCGGUCUCCAAAACCGUGGGUCGUGGGUUCGAAUCCUUCUACCCCUGCCA
RNAcentral lists this transfer RNA (76 nucleotides) under Clostridia bacterium. RNAcentral's name for it is "tRNA-Trp". It matches the Rfam family "tRNA". From Rfam's summary of the family: Transfer RNA (tRNA) molecules are approximately 80 nucleotides in length. Their secondary structure includes four short double-helical elements and three loops (D, anti-codon, and T loops). Further hydrogen bonds mediate the characteristic L-shaped molecular structure. tRNAs have two regions of fundamental functional importance: the anti-codon, which is responsible for specific mRNA codon recognition, and the 3' end, to which the tRNAs corresponding amino acid is attached (by aminoacyl-tRNA synthetases). tRNAs cope with the degeneracy of the genetic code in two manners: having more than one tRNA (with a specific anti-codon) for a particular amino acid; and 'wobble' base-pairing, i.e. permitting non-standard base-pairing at the 3rd anti-codon position. The record is from RNAcentral. Lineage: Bacteria; Bacillati; Bacillota; Clostridia.